This is a non-coding RNA of Musa acuminata subsp. malaccensis (wild Malaysian banana), 614 nucleotides long. NCBI's taxonomy places the organism in Eukaryota, Viridiplantae, Streptophyta, Magnoliopsida, Zingiberales, Musaceae. The record is from RefSeq and is a predicted model, not a curated record.
AAGCAAAACCUCGUCUUGCAGGUUUGACGAAGGAUCAGUUACCCUUGGCCUUUGGCUGCAGCAUCAAUACAACUCAAGCAUACAGGGGGACUGUACUGCUAAAGAAUGCAAAAUAUAUUGUUGACUCACUGAUCCGAAUGCAGUUGACACAGAAGUUGGAGAAGAUUCUUCUGCCCAUGAUAGAUAAGCUUGCACUCAGCUGCUCCCUUGAAGAGAAGGAAAGGAUGGCCCUAAUAUUUCCCCUGCUUAGUGUACUGGUCAUGGUUGUAUCUCUUAUCUCCUUAAAGAACACAGUAGUCUAACAUCCCAUGUUUCUGCAGAUACAUAAAAAAGAUCAAGAAAUAAAUCAAGUAUUCCACUUCUCCAUGAAUUAGCUGAUGGAAAGUCGGGCAUGGGAGAAGAAUGGAACCAUAUAGAACUCAUACAAGCAGAUUCAACGCAUGAGCAACAUUAAGAACAUUUUCGAGGAUCUUCUUGUGGCAGAAUGUUUCUGAUCUGAUGAAAGAUGUCAAUGUAAGAGAAAUAAGCGACGUAUAUGAAUGUUGUCCUCGAUCAUCGUGGCAUCACCAACAAGCACAGCAAUGGGUAUUCUACACUGAAUAUUACCUAGUGAA